This 490-nucleotide ribosomal RNA is filed under the name uncultured bacterium. RNAcentral describes it as "partial 16S ribosomal RNA". It matches the Rfam family "Bacterial small subunit ribosomal RNA", at positions 29 to 507 of the family's 1533-position model. The record is from RNAcentral.
AGUGAACGCUGGCGGUAGGCCUAACACAUGCAAGUCGAACGGCAGCACAGGAGAGCUUGCCCUCCGGGUGGCGAGUGGCGGACGGGCGAGGAAUACAUCGGAAUCUGCCCAGUCGAGGGGGUUAACGUAGGGAAACUUACGCUAAUACCGCAUUCUAUUUCCGGGUGAAAGAGGGGGAUCGCAAGAUCUCUUGCGUUUGGUUGAGCCGUUCCUGGAUUAGCUACUUUGCGGGGUAUUGGCCCACCAAGGCGACGAUCCGUAGCUGGUCUCGGUGGAUGAUCAGGCACACUGGAACUGAGACACGGUCCAGACUCCUACGGGAGGCAGCAGUGGGGAAUAUUGGACAAUGGGCGCAAGCCUGAUCCAGCCAUACCGCGUGAGUGAAGAAGGCCUUCUGGUUGUAGAGCCCUUUUGUUGGGAGAGAAAUCUUUCAGGCUAAUACCCUGAGAGGAUGACGGUACCCAAAGAAUAAGCACCGGCUAACUUCGUG